Molecule: microRNA, 22 nt
Filed under: Danio rerio (zebrafish)
Lineage: Eukaryota; Metazoa; Chordata; Actinopteri; Cypriniformes; Danionidae
Description: dre-miR-30a-5p
Gene: dre-miR-30a-5p
Source: miRBase by way of RNAcentral
UGUAAACAUUCCCGACUGGAAG